RNAcentral lists this non-coding RNA (122 nucleotides) under uncultured Butyrivibrio sp. RNAcentral's name for it is "FMN riboswitch (RFN element)". It matches the Rfam family "FMN riboswitch aptamer (RFN element)". Rfam says of the family: The RFN element is a highly conserved domain that is found frequently in the 5'-untranslated regions of prokaryotic mRNAs that encode for flavin mononucleotide (FMN) biosynthesis and transport proteins. This element is a metabolite-dependent riboswitch that directly binds FMN in the absence of proteins. In Bacillus subtilis, the riboswitch most likely controls gene expression by causing premature transcription termination within the 5' untranslated region of the ribDEAHT operon and precluding access to the ribosome-binding site of ypaA mRNA. The record is from RNAcentral. Lineage: Bacteria; Bacillati; Bacillota; Clostridia; Lachnospirales; Lachnospiraceae.
AUCUUCGGGGCAGGGUGCAAUUCCCUACCGGCGGUGACUGAUUUCAGAAGUCCGCGAACCGCUUCGGCGGCCGAUUUGGUGAGAUUCCAAAACCGACAGUAUAGUCUGGAUGAUAGAAGAUG